GACGAACGCUGGCGGCGUGCUUAACACAUGCAAGUCGAGCGGUAAGGCCCUUUCGGGGUACGACGAGCGGCGAACGGGUAGGAGUAACACGUGGGUGGACCUCGCCCUCCAGCUCUGGGAGUAAGCCGUGGGAAACCGGGUACUAAUACCGGAUAUGACUCCAUGACGCAUGUUGUGGGGUGGAAAGCCUUGUGCGGCUGAGG
Molecule: ribosomal RNA, 203 nt
Filed under: uncultured bacterium
Lineage: Bacteria
Description: partial 16S ribosomal RNA
Rfam family: Bacterial small subunit ribosomal RNA
Source: RNAcentral